This is a long non-coding RNA of Lycium barbarum (goji berry), 507 nucleotides long. RefSeq lists it as uncharacterized. NCBI's taxonomy places the organism in Eukaryota, Viridiplantae, Streptophyta, Magnoliopsida, Solanales, Solanaceae. The transcript is spliced from 3 exons. The record is from RefSeq and is a predicted model, not a curated record.
UAGGGUUUCACCCGAAACCCUAAGCUCUGCCCCCAAGUUGUUUCUCUCUCCUCGCUUCAUAUAUGCUGGAAACGGCAAAAGUAAGGAACCACAUGGUAGUAUGGACUGCUGCAUGGCCGAGAAUGGCAAGAGCAUUUAUUGCUCUGCCAUUUCUCACCUAUUUCCGGCAAGGUUCAACCCCAAACACAAUUGAGUUGGUGGAGCAAGGAAGGCUUCUAAUUCCAUUCUCGACAAGGGCUGCGCAAAAGAAAGGUACAAAUACUCAGUUUGGUGAUCCUCCAGCUUAGGACUGCUACUCAGCUGCUUGGAGAGCUCCAUUGUUCUGGAGCUUGAGUCAUUUUGGUAUAGAUCCUUUGUCAUAGACCUUUUUAUACUCGUAGAGGUCUGUAGACAUAUGUGGGUUGUGUAUAUACGGUUUGGUCAGCUAUGCAGAUGUAGUUCGUUUUGGAUAUUCCCGUGUAUAGUGGCAGCCUUAUCGACUUACAUAAUUUGUUAUGUUUUAGUUAG